RNAcentral lists this ribosomal RNA (859 nucleotides) under Agrocybe chaxingu. RNAcentral describes it as "partial large subunit ribosomal RNA". It matches the Rfam family "Eukaryotic large subunit ribosomal RNA", at positions 70 to 896 of the family's 3401-position model. Lineage: Eukaryota; Fungi; Basidiomycota; Agaricomycetes; Agaricales; Agrocybaceae. The record is from RNAcentral.
CAGGAUUCCCCUAGUAACUGCGAGUGAAGCGGGAAAAGCUCAAAUUUGAAAUCUGGCGGUCCUUUGCGGCCGUCCGAGUUGUAAUCUAGAGAAGUGCUACCCGCGCUGGACCGUGUACAAGUCUCCUGGAAUGGAGCGUCACAGAGGGUGAGAAUCCCGUCUUUGACACGGACUGCCAGGGCUUAUGUGGUGCGCUCUCGAAGAGUCGAGUUGUUUGGGAAUGCAGCUCUAAAUGGGUGGUAAAUUCCAUCUAAAGCUAAAUACAGGCGAGAGACCGAUAGCGAACAAGUACCGUGAGGGAAAGAUGAAAAGAACUUUGGAAAGAGAGUUAAACAGUACGUGAAAUUGCUGAAAGGGAAACGUUUGAAGUCAGUCGCGUUGGCUGGGGAUCAACCUUGCUCUUGCAGGGCGCACUCUCUGGCUCGACGGGUCAGCAUCAGUUUCGGCCGCUGGAGAAAGGCUAGGGGAAUGUGGCAUCGCUUCGGUGAUGUGUUAUAGCCCUUGGUCGUAUGCAGCGGCUGGGACUGAGGAACUCAGCCUGCCCUUAACUGGGCCGGGUCUUUUUGACCACGCUUAACGGGCUUAGGAUGCUGGCAUAAUGGCUUUAAGCGACCCGUCUUGAAACACGGACCAAGGAGUCUAACAUGUUUGCGAGUGUUUGGGUGGAAAACCCGAGCGCGUAAUGAAAGUGAAAGUUGGGAACCCUGUCGUGGGGUGCACCGACGCCCGGACCAGACCUUCUUGCGACGGCUCCGCGGUAGAGCAGGCAUGUUGGGACUCGAAAGAUGGUGAACUAUGCCUGAAUAGGGUGAAGCCAGAGGAAACUCUGGGGGAGGCUCGUAGCGAUUCUGACGUGCAA